GGGUGCCUUCUGCUGGCCUCAACCACCCACGUGGUCGGAGCCCGGCCCUGCCGGCUGGAGAGGAUCCGAAUAGUGUACGCGUUUUGGCUUGCAGGGUUUUUAAUUGUCACCGAGUGGGGUUUACUGUAGGCUGUCAAAUCAGGAGUCGUAUUUUGUUGAGUCGAAAGUGAAAUUUACCUUCGGCCGACGUGACAGAGCCUGUGCCCUCUGCUGAUUUUCCACAUCUGUCCCUGGGCGUGUCAUUGGCUGCUCCUGACAACUGCGAUAGCUCAACCCCGGGACUUCUCCCAGGUAAGCCCUCCCACUUUGGAGAAGUAGAUAAUAUGUGAGGGGAAUGCUUAACCAGUGGGUUACCCAGGUCCACCCAGUAGCAGUGUUUCCCAGUCGUUUCCAGUCUGAGACAAAGCCAUGAUCUUGCCAGAACACAGGUAGACAAGAAGCCACUGCUUUCUUGGUUCCUCAUGCUGAGUCAUCCACCAAUUCAAGAAAUGGUCCAAACACUGCUCUUUGCCACUUAUAUAAGCUAUCGUUCGUGUUCAAUGAUAGCUUAGCACUUAGCACCUGGCACAGUACUUGGUAUGUGAUGCUUGUUUUCCCCCAUUAAACUUAACUAGCCAACUUGAGCUUAUAUCCUCUCAUAAAACUGCAGCUGAGGGUCAUCAGAGCUGGCUUCCUAUUACCCAGGAGUCCUGCUCCAUUUGUGCUGCUAUAACAGAAGACCAUAGAGUGGCUGGCUUAUAAACAACAGACAUUUAUUUCUCCCAGUUCUGAAGGCUGGAGCCCUAAGGUCUAGGUGCGAGCAGAUUCCAUGUCUGGUGAGGUCAAAUUUCCUGAUUCACAGUCUUUUAUCUUUUGACUGUGUCCUUACAGGGCAGAAGGGAGGUUUCUGGGGCCUCCUUUUUCAGGGCACUAAUCUGGAGCUCUCAUGACCGAAUGACUUCCCAAAGCCUCUACCUAAAGUGCCAUCACGUUGGGUGUUAGGAUUUCAACAUAUGAAUUUGUGGGGGGUACACACAUAUUCAAACGGUUGAAGGUAAGUUGAUGAAGUUGAAAGGAAUCAUGAUUUGCAGGUUACCAACCUUUUGAAUCAAAGAUUCUGUAAGAAAAAGGUACUUUUUAAGUAAACAUGAGCAGCAGAAUUUGACUUUAUACUUGAAGAGGAGGGAUCCGCUGGACCAUAAGCUUAUCACUGUGUUUCCCAGGAUGUACCUUAUCAGGUCGCUCACAAAUUACUGCUACCACCAGCAUAUUGGCCACUAGGAGGCACUGUUUCCCCUUCAGGGCUGUGGGCCAGUUACUGGCUGUGAAUCAAAUCUACAGUUGAGCCUAACUGAAGCUGGUUCUUUUUAUCUUCUAGAAAUACCGCAGGGAAAUAAACGCUGAGAGUGAUGCGGUCUUUAUGACCUGGCUUAUAAGGAGAGUGUAUUGAUUGAGAAUGUUCGUGUCUCACGGGGCGUCCUGUCUUCCUGGCUCUUGGACUUACUGAUACAGAUAGGGUCCUCUUUGCUCCCAGCAUAAAGGAAUCAUUUACCAGGCCUGGUGCAAGGGGCUGGGCAGAACAAAAUGCAAGAUCCCUUCUCAGAGUCCAGUCUAGUGGGGGGAGACACACGGCAAGGGAGAGGUCCUGACAGCCUUCCUCAGAUCCACCCUCACAGUGCCUGUCUUCUGGUUUUUAGAGUUGAGGAUAUUUCCCUUCAGACAGCACCUACCCCAGCAGGGAGUAGCCAUUGCAGCUCACAGCACAGCCCUAACUCAUUUUGUCAGUUCAUGUAAUAGAGGGUCCGUUUGUUACAUAUGCACUUGAGUUUAUCUAUGAGAUAAUUUUCUAUUUUAUGUGUACCUCGACCAAAGAGCAGCUAUGAAUAAUAACAGCUAAGAAAACCAAAUAGCUAAUUCAUUCAAUUGGGAUUAUGUUUACAUCUUUAUUCUCAAGAUUUAUUCACAAGAUACAGGAGUUCCUGUUGUGGCUCAGCGGGUUAAGUACCUGACUGGUAUCCAUGAGGAUGCGGGUUUGAUCCCUGGCCUGGCUCAGUGGGUUAGGGAUCCGGUGUUGCUGUGGCCAUGGCUUAGGCCUCAGGUGCAGCUCUCAUUAGACCUCUAGCCUGGGAAAUUCCAUAUGCCAAAGGUGCAGUUGUAAAAAGAAAAAAAAAAGAUUCAAUAUUUAGACUGAAUAACAGGUUCUACUUUUGCAGGGGCGGGCGGCUGUGCUCACUGCAUGCAGAUGUUCCCGGGCCAGGCAUCAAACCCAUGCAACGGCAGUAAUCAGAGCCACAGCAGUGACAAUGUCAGAUCCUUAAUUUACUGACCCACCAGGGAAUUCCAGAUUCUACUUUCAUUAAAUCCAGUUCUGUUCUGAAUGAAUGUCAAAGUUUGAAAUAUACAAGGGUUAUUUUAAUUUUAUAAAAUUUAUAUUUGGCAAGACUAGGGCUAGUAACAUCUUUCUACAUUGGUUUGGACUCUAAUGAAGACAAUAAUGACCCUUUAUAGAAGAAAUGCGAGUGGCAUCCCCAUUCACAAGUUUGAUGAUCUUUGAAAUGUUGUAGAUUUUAUCUCAGGUCCAUUCCUUCACCCUCACCUGGCUAUAAACAUGCAGGGCUGAAGGGUCUCAUGUCAUGCACAUAUCAUUAGGCUCUUCUCCCAUCAAACAUCUUUUCACAUACAUACUUGAAUGUUUAUGCUUGUCCAUUUACCUUUUGCUGUUAAGAUUGUUAGCUCUCAUGGGGUUCCCGUCAUGGCUCAGUGGUAACAAACCCUACUAGUAUCCAUGAGGGCUCAGGUUUGAUCCCUGGCCUCCCUCAGUGGGUUCAGGAUCUGGCGUUGCCAUAAGCUGUGGUGUAGGUCGCAGACUUGGCUUGGAUCCCUUGUUGCUCUGGCUGUGGUAUAGGCCAGCAGCUGCAGCUCCAAUUUGAUCCCUAGCCUGGGAACCUCCAUAUGCCAUGGGUGCAGCCCUAAAAAGCAAAAAAAAAAAAAAAAAAA
Molecule: long non-coding RNA, 2976 nt
Filed under: Sus scrofa (pig)
Lineage: Eukaryota; Metazoa; Chordata; Mammalia; Artiodactyla; Suidae
Description: lncRNA (ENSSSCG00065042053.1)
Source: RNAcentral